AGAGUUUGAUCCUGGCUCAGAACGAACGCUGGCGGCAUGCCUAAUACAUGCAAGUCGAACGCUCCUAGCAAUAGGGGAGUGGCGGACGGGUGAGUAACGCGUGGGAACCUGCCCUUGAGUGCGGGAUAACCGAGGGAAACUUCGGCUAAUACCGCAUGGUCCUCCUUCGGGAGGGAAAGAUUUAUCGCUCGAGGAGGGGC
This 200-nucleotide ribosomal RNA is filed under the name uncultured bacterium. RNAcentral's name for it is "partial 16S ribosomal RNA". It matches the Rfam family "Bacterial small subunit ribosomal RNA", at positions 8 to 230 of the family's 1533-position model. The record is from RNAcentral.